AACGAACGCUGGCGGCAUGCCUAACACAUGCAAGUCGAACGAGACCUUCGGGUCUAGUGGCGAACGGGUGCGUAACGCGUGGGAACCUGCCCUUAGGUUCGGAAUAACUCCCCGAAAGGGGUGCUAAUACCGGAUAAUGUCUUCGGACCAAAGAUUUAUCGCCUUUGGAUGGGCCCGCGUUGGAUUAGCUAGUUGGUAGGGUAAAAGCCUACCAAGGCGACGAUCCAUAGCUGGUCUGAGAGGAUGAUCAGCCACACUGGGACUGAGACACGGCCCAGACUCCUACGGGAGGCAGCAGUGGGGAAUAUCGGACAAUGGGCGAAAGCCUGAUCCAGCAAUGCCGCGUGAGUGAUGAAGGCCUUAGGGUUGUAAAGCUCUUUUACCCGGGAUGAUAAUGACAGUACCGGGAGAAUAAGCACCGGCUAACUCCGUG
This 433-nucleotide ribosomal RNA is filed under the name uncultured bacterium. RNAcentral's name for it is "partial 16S ribosomal RNA". It matches the Rfam family "Bacterial small subunit ribosomal RNA", at positions 29 to 507 of the family's 1533-position model. The record is from RNAcentral.